UGGGGAAUCUUGCACAAUGGGCGAAAGCCUGAUGCAGCGACGCCGCGUGCGGGAUGAAGGCCUUCGGGUUGUAAACCGCUUUCAGCAGGGACGAGGCGAAAGUGACGGUACCUGCAGAAGAAGCCCCGGCUAACUACGUGCCAGCAGCCGCGGUAAUACGUAGGGGGCAAGCGUUAUCCGGAUUCAUUGGGCGUAAAGCGCUCGUAGGCGGUCUGUUAGGUCGGGAGUUAAAUCCGGGGGCUCAACCCCCGUUCGCUCCCGAUACCGGCAGACUUGAGUUUGGUAGGGGAAGGUGGAAUUCCUAGUGUAGCGGUGGAAUGCGCAGAUAUUAGGAAGAACACCAGUGGCGAAAGCGGCCUUCUGGGCCAUAACUGACGCUGAGGAGCGAAAGCUAGGGGAGCAAACAGGAUUAGAUACCCUGGUAGUCCUAGCCGUAAACGAUGGACACUAGGUGUGGGGGAAUAUUUCUUCCGUGCCGCAGCUAACGCAUUAAGUGUCCCGCCUGGGGAGUACGGCCGCAAGGCUA
Molecule: ribosomal RNA, 526 nt
Filed under: uncultured bacterium
Lineage: Bacteria
Description: bacterial SSU rRNA
Rfam family: Bacterial small subunit ribosomal RNA
Source: RNAcentral